AGAAGGAAGCUUGCUUCUUUCAAAUCUAGUGGCAAACGGGUGAGUAACACGUAAACAACCUGCCUUCAGGAUGGGGACAACAGACGGAAACGACUGCUAAUACCGCAUAAUAUAUAUUUAUCGCAUGGUAGAUAUAUCAAAGAUUUAUCGCUUAGAGAUGGACUCGCGUCCGAUUAGUUAGUUGGUGAGGUAACGGCUCACCAAGACCGCGAUCGGUAGCCGGACUGAGAGGUUGAACGGCCACAUUGGGACUGAGACACGGCCCAGACUCC
This 272-nucleotide ribosomal RNA is filed under the name uncultured Eubacteriales bacterium. RNAcentral describes it as "uncultured Clostridiales bacterium partial 16S ribosomal RNA". It matches the Rfam family "Bacterial small subunit ribosomal RNA", at positions 70 to 339 of the family's 1533-position model. Lineage: Bacteria; Bacillati; Bacillota; Clostridia; Eubacteriales. The record is from RNAcentral.